This 253-nucleotide ribosomal RNA is filed under the name uncultured bacterium. Its description in RNAcentral is "partial 16S ribosomal RNA". It matches the Rfam family "Bacterial small subunit ribosomal RNA", at positions 524 to 776 of the family's 1533-position model. The record is from RNAcentral.
UACAGAGGUCUCAAGCGUUGUUCGGAUUCAUUGGGCGUAAAGGGUGCGUAGGUGGCGCCGUAAGUCAGGUGUGAAAUCUCGGGGCUCAACCCCGAAACUGCAUUUGAUACUGCGGUGCUCGAGUACUGGAGAGGAGAUUGGAAUUUACGGUGUAGCAGUGAAAUGCGUAGAUAUCGUGAGGAAGACCAGUUGCGAAGGCGGAUCUCUGGGCAGUUCCUGACACUGAGGCACGAAGGCCAGGGGAGCAAACGGG